GUGGGGAAUAUUGGACAAUGGGCGAAAGCCUGAUCCAGCCAUGCCGCGUGUGUGAAGAAGGUCUUCGGAUUGUAAAGCACUUUAAGUUGGGAGGAAGGGCAGUAAGUUAAUACCUUGCUGUUUUGACGUUACCGACAGAAUAAGCACCGGCUAACUUCGUGCCAGCAGCCGCGGUAAUACGAAGGGUGCAAGCGUUAAUCGGAAUUACUGGGCGUAACGCGCGCGUAGGUGGUUCAGUAAGUUGGAAGUGAAAUCCCCGGGCUCAACCUGGGAACUGCUUUAAAAACUGCUGAGCUAGAGUACGGUAGAGGGUGGUGGAAUUUCCUGUGUAGCGGUGAAAUGCGUAGAUAUAGGAAGGAACACCAGUGGCGAAGGCGACCACCUGGACUGAUACUGACACUGAGGUGCGAAAGCGUGGGGAGCAAACAGGAUUAGAUACCCCUGUAGUCC
RNAcentral lists this ribosomal RNA (450 nucleotides) under uncultured bacterium. Its description in RNAcentral is "partial 16S ribosomal RNA". It matches the Rfam family "Bacterial small subunit ribosomal RNA", at positions 354 to 796 of the family's 1533-position model. The record is from RNAcentral.